AUGGACGUGGUGUGCUGGAACGUGAGGGGUUUAAACAGCCCAGUCAAGAAGAAGGCUCUGAGGGAGUUUGUCGACUCAUUGCGUGUGGCAAUCAUUUGUAUUGUGGAGACUAAACUGGAUCAUGUUGAGCAGUACAUUAUAUUGCAAUGUUUAGGACCAUCUUACGAUGGUUUUGCGUACCUACCAGCUUCUAAGACUAGAGGAGGGAUCUUGGUUGGUUGGGACUCCUCACGUGUCCAGCUAUCUAACUUUGCCCUUGACUCCUUCUCUCUGACUGGUUAUGUUGCGCCGAGGGAGGGGUGCCCAUGGUGGCUGUCUGUGGUAUAUGGGCCACAAGAGGAUCAUCAGAAAAUCCACUCCAGGAGUUAUCUGAAAGGAGGACGCUUUGCCCGGGCCCGUGGCUGGUGA
This 408-nucleotide ribosomal RNA is filed under the name Triticum aestivum (bread wheat). RNAcentral describes it as "partial small subunit ribosomal RNA". Lineage: Eukaryota; Viridiplantae; Streptophyta; Magnoliopsida; Poales; Poaceae. The record is from RNAcentral.